RNAcentral lists this ribosomal RNA (219 nucleotides) under uncultured bacterium. Its description in RNAcentral is "partial 16S ribosomal RNA". It matches the Rfam family "Bacterial small subunit ribosomal RNA", at positions 118 to 334 of the family's 1533-position model. The record is from RNAcentral.
UAAGCAACCUGCCCCAAAGACCGGGACAACGUUCCGAAAGGAGCGCUAAUACCGGAUGUGCCCGACGGGUGACAUCGCCUGUCGAGUAAAUCGAGCAAUCGGCUUUGGGAGGGGCUUGCGGCCUAUCAGCUAGAUGGUGGGGUAAGAGCCUACCAAGGCAGAGAUCGGUAGCCGGCCUGAGAGGGCACACGGCCACACUGGCACUGAAACACGGGCCAG